GGGGUAUUUCGCUGGAGGAGGUCGUCGGCAGUGCUUACUGCAACACCGCCCGGGUAAGCUUCCUUCUUAAUUUUCCCGAGUUUUUAGCGUACAUAUGUGCUUUUCAACUCACAAUACCCUCGUUUCUUUCUUUUCAGCAUAUUCUCGAGCUCGACACCAUGGCGUUCAUCGCCCAUGGGUAUCGGAAAGAAGUUCAACAGCUCGGCCAGCAACUGGAG
This 218-nucleotide long non-coding RNA is filed under the name Phoenix dactylifera (date palm). RNAcentral's name for it is "long non-coding RNA (PDAC_LNC003824)". The record is from RNAcentral. Lineage: Eukaryota; Viridiplantae; Streptophyta; Magnoliopsida; Arecales; Arecaceae.